CUGCUGUUUGCAUAAUCCCUUUCACUUUUUAUCCCUGACCCCAGAAAUGAGGUGCCUUCCCCAAGCCCUUCCUCCAGAGAGAACCUCGAGUCCCUUGUGGCUGAACUGGAGAAGACAGUUGCUUCCCUACGGAAACAGGUGAACGCACUAGAGAGCCAGCUGAGGUGGCAGCACAGGAACACCAGCACACAAGGACAGGUCAAGAAAACUGGAGACAAAUGGAGAAAAAGAUGACCAUGUUGCCUCUUUGAAUAAGGUGCCCUGUGACCUGCACUCCUGCUCUCCACCAACCACUCCAACCCACUCCUAUAGGGCUCAGAAAGCCACCACAAGACCCCACGAAGCUCUGCCUCCUCUCACACCUCCUGUGCCACUCCCCAUCCCAGGACCACUGUACUUUUGCCUGUAUUGAACCUUCUGCACUGACUGUCCACGAGCCCCUCAGCCCCUGGAUCCUUCCUGCCUUUGUCAGCCUCCUGGGGAUGGGCUCUGCCCUGGAUGGUGACAGCCCAGAGUCUGCCAAGAUGCCUCUUUCUUCCACAGCCCCCAGGGGAAUGGAGACUAAUUGAAGUUGCUUUAGUGCCCCUUUUCUGCUCCUCUUCCCACGCACCACUGUCGUCACC
RNAcentral lists this long non-coding RNA (623 nucleotides) under Manacus vitellinus (golden-collared manakin). RNAcentral's name for it is "lncRNA (ENSMVIG00005004773.1)". Lineage: Eukaryota; Metazoa; Chordata; Aves; Passeriformes; Pipridae. The record is from RNAcentral.